GAAGUGGUGGUUCAGUGGCAGAAUUCUCGCCUUCCAUGUGAGAGAUCUGAGUUCAAUUCCCCGCCAGUGCA
Molecule: transfer RNA, 71 nt
Filed under: Loxodonta africana (African savanna elephant)
Lineage: Eukaryota; Metazoa; Chordata; Mammalia; Proboscidea; Elephantidae
Rfam family: tRNA
About the family: Transfer RNA (tRNA) molecules are approximately 80 nucleotides in length. Their secondary structure includes four short double-helical elements and three loops (D, anti-codon, and T loops).
Source: Rfam by way of RNAcentral